Molecule: transfer RNA, 59 nt
Filed under: Schaalia odontolytica
Lineage: Bacteria; Bacillati; Actinomycetota; Actinomycetes; Actinomycetales; Actinomycetaceae
Rfam family: tRNA
About the family: Transfer RNA (tRNA) molecules are approximately 80 nucleotides in length. Their secondary structure includes four short double-helical elements and three loops (D, anti-codon, and T loops). Further hydrogen bonds mediate the characteristic L-shaped molecular structure. tRNAs have two regions of fundamental functional importance: the anti-codon, which is responsible for specific mRNA codon recognition, and the 3' end, to which the tRNAs corresponding amino acid is attached (by aminoacyl-tRNA synthetases). tRNAs cope with the degeneracy of the genetic code in two manners: having more than one tRNA (with a specific anti-codon) for a particular amino acid; and 'wobble' base-pairing, i.e. permitting non-standard base-pairing at the 3rd anti-codon position.
Source: RNAcentral
GUAGCUCAACGGCAGAGCAUCCGACUGUUAAUCGGACGGUUACUGGUUCGAAUCCAGUC